UACGGAGGGUGCAAGCGUUAUCCGGAUUCACUGGGUUUAAAGGGUGCGUAGGCGGAUAUGUAAGUCCGUGGUGAAAUCUCUGGGCUUAACCCGGAAACUGCCAUGGAUACUAUGUGUCUUGAAUGUUGUUGAGGUGAGCGGAAUAUGUCAUGUAGCGGUGAAAUGCUUAGAUAUGACAUAGAACACCUAAUUGCGAAAGGCAGCUCACUAAGCAAAUAUUGACGCUGAGGCACGAAAGCGUGGGGAUCAAACAGG
This 255-nucleotide ribosomal RNA is filed under the name uncultured bacterium. Its description in RNAcentral is "partial 16S ribosomal RNA". It matches the Rfam family "Bacterial small subunit ribosomal RNA", at positions 524 to 776 of the family's 1533-position model. The record is from RNAcentral.